RNAcentral lists this unclassified non-coding RNA (207 nucleotides) under Hevea brasiliensis (rubber tree). Lineage: Eukaryota; Viridiplantae; Streptophyta; Magnoliopsida; Malpighiales; Euphorbiaceae. The record is from RNAcentral.
CAGCAUUUCUUAACGUUUCAUCCUGUAAAGUUUUAAAGCAGUUGUUAGAAACAAAUAUUUGAGAAAAAUCAUCUAGAAGUAGCUGAUGCAUAGCAUUUGAGUAAGUGAAGAGAUCUUAGAAGCAUAUAUAUGAAAAAGCAUAGUUGAUUUGAACCAAUUGUUGAUCCAAAUGUAAUAAUACUCCUCCAUUUUUAAUUUCAGGGACAG